GAGUGAAGUCACUUAUGCAGAUAUACAGAUACUACCAGAAGAAAGAGUGUGUUUUACUUCACAAACUUUGGAUCCAGGACAGAGGAGCACCUAUGCUGAGGUGAAAGUACAUUGGAAAUCUGACAGCACAUCAGAGGCUCCCUGUUCAGAUAACUCAACUCAGCAAGUCUCUCUUCAAUGAAAGAUCAUCAAAUGCCGGUUGAAAGUGCUCAUAAAUUGCUCUUUCUUUUAAAUGACUUUGAUAAAAGAUAGACACUCUGUACCUUGGGGGAACACCUUGCACCUCCAUGUUCAUCCUUAUAAUAUG
This is a long non-coding RNA of Gopherus evgoodei (Goodes thornscrub tortoise), 307 nucleotides long. RefSeq lists it as uncharacterized. The record is from RefSeq and is a predicted model, not a curated record. The transcript has 3 exons. Lineage: Eukaryota; Metazoa; Chordata; Testudines; Testudinidae.